UUCACUCCCGCAAAAUUGAACCGAACAUUGUGCUAAUUCCCUCGGCGCUCCGUCCUGAGUUUCUAUCCUCCCGACCCCGGGCGUUUGAGUCUCCGGUCUUCAGUUCUACUUGAUACAUAGAGUAGUUCACAACCAUACAGCGGAUACACACAACAGACAGAAAAGCAACCAGUGUUAUGCUUUCAUAGAUUGUGAAUCGAUUACAAAAACAGGACUUCAGCAGCAAUAAUGGGACUGUACCUUCUUCUUCUNCA
This is a long non-coding RNA of Eurytemora carolleeae, 254 nucleotides long. RefSeq lists it as uncharacterized. The transcript is spliced from 3 exons. The record is from RefSeq and is a predicted model, not a curated record. Lineage: Eukaryota; Metazoa; Arthropoda; Copepoda; Calanoida; Temoridae.